This 239-nucleotide ribosomal RNA is filed under the name uncultured Lactobacillus sp. RNAcentral describes it as "partial 16S ribosomal RNA". It matches the Rfam family "Bacterial small subunit ribosomal RNA", at positions 125 to 356 of the family's 1533-position model. Lineage: Bacteria; Bacillati; Bacillota; Bacilli; Lactobacillales; Lactobacillaceae. The record is from RNAcentral.
CCGUAGCCCAAGAGAUCGGGAUAACACCUGGAAACAGAUGCUAAUACCGGAUAACAAUAGAUGAUGCCUAUCAACUGUUUAAAAGAUGGUUCUGCUAUCACUCUUGGAUGGACCUGCGGUGCAUUAGCUAGUUGGUAGGGUAACGGCCUACCAAGGCGAUGAUGCAUAGCCGAGUUGAGAGACUGAUCGGCCACAUUGGGACUGAGACACGGCCCAAACUCCUACGGGAGGCAGCAGUG